Molecule: long non-coding RNA, 214 nt
Organism: Xenopus tropicalis (tropical clawed frog)
Lineage: Eukaryota; Metazoa; Chordata; Amphibia; Anura; Pipidae
Exons: 2
Source: RefSeq, a predicted model, not a curated record
AUAGACUGGGAACAACUUUUACAUAGAUGAAUAAGGGGACCCUGUGAUCUGGGUUUCCCUUAAGUGACAAACGGCAAAUAUGAUCUGGUACCAAGAUGUAAGACAGAGUGGCGUUGGUGAAAGGGAUGAAUAUCAUGGAUCAUUUCAUACAUAACUUGUUAGUUAUGUUUAUUUUAUGUAUAAAAUAAUACAAAUUAAAAAUACUGUUUCUCAA